CACGGGGGGAGCAAGCGUUGUUCGGAUUCAUUGGGCGUAAAGGGCUCGUAGGUGGCUUUGUAAGUCGGAGGUGAAAUCCCACGGCUCAACCGUGGACACGCCUUCGAAACUGUGAAGCUUGAGGCUGGGAGAGGAGAUCGGAAUUCUCGGUGUAGCGGUGAAAUGCGUAGAUAUCGAGAGGAACACCUGCGGCGAAGGCGGGUUGCUGGGCUGACACUGACGCUGAUGCGCGAAAGCUAGGGGAGCGAACGGG
This 253-nucleotide ribosomal RNA is filed under the name uncultured bacterium. RNAcentral describes it as "partial 16S ribosomal RNA". It matches the Rfam family "Bacterial small subunit ribosomal RNA", at positions 524 to 776 of the family's 1533-position model. The record is from RNAcentral.